RNAcentral lists this long non-coding RNA (924 nucleotides) under Elaeis guineensis (African oil palm). Its description in RNAcentral is "long non-coding RNA (EGUI_LNC064819)". The record is from RNAcentral. Lineage: Eukaryota; Viridiplantae; Streptophyta; Magnoliopsida; Arecales; Arecaceae.
GUGUAAUCAAAAUUGAAACCAACCCUAAUCGAAUUAGGCAUGCAUUACACCCUUAGUCAAAAAUCGAUUUAAGCAUCAAGCAAUCAUGAAUCUAUAAAUUUCAUAUUAUCAUAAAUUUAAAAAUUUAAUAACUAAAAUUUAAAUCCAUGGUUCAAAUAAAAUCAAAAAUAAUUUUUGAUUUUAAGAUCGAUGCAAAAAUCGAUGCAACAUUUUUGGCAAAAUAUGAAUUAGAACAAUUCUAUAUUACAAUUUUGUACUUAUUUGAUCAAAUCUAAUAAGGGUGGCUCUAAUACCACUAUUGGGUUCUGGUCAUGCAGCAGAAAGUAAAUUUUAAAAUUUUUUAAACAUACAUAUCGAGAGCUUUAAUAUUUAAAAGUAUCGAACCGAAAUUCAAACUCUAGAAUCACCUUGUAGAUGUCGAACAAAACAAAAUCAAGCAUGCAAAAAGAUAAAAAUUUAUACAUUCUCCAAUGAGUAGUAUGGUAGGUAGGUGAUCUCCACGAGAUUUCAAAGUAGAAGUCCUCCAACAGUGAUCUAUACGGAAGUUGGCUAAGAUCCUUCCUAAUCAGUGCGCUGCUGUAGCCUUUUUUCAUAAGAAUACUACCGACUUCGAACUCGAAUUUCAAUCGCACCAACGUUUAGUUGCCUUCAAUUUUACCACCAGGAUCACGUCAAGAGAAUUCUCUCCAGAAGUCUCACAACCUAGAAUUUGAUUUUGUGCUUCAAUAUAUGGAAAAAUAAAACUCUAGGACAAACUAGCAACACUUGCUAUUUUUUUCACCAUCCUUCUUAUAACUUUUUCUUUCAAUUUUUUUAUUUUUUCUCAGAUUUUUUUCAAUUUUUUUUCUCUUAUCACAUGCCAAAUAGCUCUGACUUUCAUCCAAAAUCUAGCACCUAAUCCAUAUGGGAUGCCCUAUAUAAAUA